UUAAACGCGAAGCCAUCACUGGCCUAGCUUUAUAAUCCUUAUUACACCUGUGCACCUUAUUGUCUUCGGACAAUCUUUACAAACAACAGUGUAACGAAUGUAACAUAUUAUAAAAUAAUA
RNAcentral lists this unclassified non-coding RNA (120 nucleotides) under uncultured Hannaella. RNAcentral's name for it is "sequence contains ITS1". Lineage: Eukaryota; Fungi; Basidiomycota; Tremellomycetes; Tremellales; Bulleribasidiaceae. The record is from RNAcentral.